AAUAGCUGCAUUAAAGGACUUACAGAAAGAACAUCACAGGAGGUUUGAGAACGCAAUGAGAGAACGUUGUGAAAGAGCAUAAAAUAUGAAGCACUGACCUAGUAUCUGCAAAGCUGAGACUUGUCAUCUCUGUCAGAGAGAGAAACAAAACUGUCACUGUGGAAUCAGAUUUCAUGCUGGGAUAAUAGGCUCUCUGAAAAUUCUAGAACUGAGAAGUGCCCAGUUCUUCCUCCUUUGAGGAAAAUUUUAGCCUUGACUGACAUGUCCAUCUGCUGA
This 276-nucleotide long non-coding RNA is filed under the name Chrysolophus pictus (golden pheasant). RNAcentral's name for it is "lncRNA (ENSCPIG00010009802.1)". Lineage: Eukaryota; Metazoa; Chordata; Aves; Galliformes; Phasianidae. The record is from RNAcentral.